UAGUAACGGCGAGUGAAGAGGGAAAAGCUCAAAUUUUGAAUCUGGUGUCUUUGACCCCCGAGUUGUAAUCUAGAGAAGUGUUUUCCGUGUCGGACCGUGUACAAGUUCCCUGGAACGGGGCGUCAUAGAGGGUGAGAAUCCCGUAUAUGCCACGGACUACCGAUACUCUGUGAUACACUCUCAACGAGUCGAGUUGUUUGGGAAUGCAGCUCAAAAUGGGUGGUAAAUUCCAUCUAAAGCUAAAUAUUGGCGAGAGACCGAUAGCGAACAAGUGCCGUGAGGGAAAGAUGAAAAGCACUUUGGAAAGAGAGUGAAACAGUACGUGAAAUUGUUGAAAGGGAAGCGUUUGAAGUCAGUCGCAUCUGUUGGGAUUCAGCCUGGCUUCUGCCUGGUGUAUUUCCUUUCCGAUGGGUCAGCAUCAGUUUUGACCAAGGGAAAAAGACAUUUGGAAUGUGGCUGUCUUCGGGCAGUGUUAUAGCCUUGUGUUGUAUGUCUUGGUUGGGACUGAGGAACGCAGCGCGCCAUUUUGGCCGGGGGUCGCUCCUCUCGACACGCGCUUAGGA
RNAcentral lists this ribosomal RNA (563 nucleotides) under uncultured Sebacinales. RNAcentral's name for it is "eukaryotic LSU rRNA". It matches the Rfam family "Eukaryotic large subunit ribosomal RNA", at positions 81 to 634 of the family's 3401-position model. Lineage: Eukaryota; Fungi; Basidiomycota; Agaricomycetes; Sebacinales. The record is from RNAcentral.